Molecule: ribosomal RNA, 911 nt
Filed under: uncultured archaeon
Lineage: Archaea
Description: bacterial SSU rRNA
Rfam family: Archaeal small subunit ribosomal RNA
Source: RNAcentral
UUUCCGGUUGAUCCUGCGGACUGACUGCUAUCGGAUUGAUACUAAGCCAUGCGAGUCUUGUAGCAAUACAAGGCAGACGGCUCAGUAACACGUAGUCAAUCUAACCUAUGGACGAGGAUAACCUCGGGAAACUGAGAAUAAUACUCGAUAGACCAUAAUGCCUGGAACGGUUUAUGGUUCAAAUGAAUUUCGCCAUAGGGUGGGACUGCGGUCUAUCAGCUUGUUGGUGAGGUAAUGGCCCACCAAGGCUAUAACAGAUACGGGCUCUGAGAGGAGAAGCCCGGAGAUGGGUACUGAGACACGGACCCAGGCCCUAUGGGGCGCAGCAGGCGAGAAAACUUUGCAAUGUGCGAAAGCACGACAAGGUUAAUCCGAGUGGUUCCUGCUAAAGGAACCUUUUGUUAGUUGUAACACCACUGAUGAAUAAGGGGUGGGCAAGUUCUGGUGUCAGCCGCCGCGGUAAAACCAGCACCUCAAGUGGUCAGGAGGAUUAUUGGGCCUAAAGCAUCCGUAGCCGGCUCUGUAAGUUUUCGGUUAAAUCUAUAUGCUCAACAUAUGGGCUGCCGGGAAUACUGCAAAGCUAGGAAGUGGGAGAGGUAGACGGUACUCCGUAGGAAGGGGUAAAAUCCUUUGAUCUAUGGAUGACCACCUGUGGCGAAGGCGGUCUACCAGAACACGUUCGACGGUGAGGGAUGAAAGCUGGGGGAGCAAACCGGAUUAGAUACCCGGGUAGUCCCAGCUGUAAACUAUGCAAACUCAGUGAUGCAUUGGCUUGUGGCCAGUGCAGUGCCGCAGGGAAGCCGUUAAGUUUGCCGCCUGGGAAGUACGUACGCAAGUAUGAAACUUAAAGGAAUUGGCGGGGGAGCACCACAAGGGGUGAAGCCUGCGGUUCAAUUGGAUUCAACGCCGGG